UCCACGCAGUAAACGCUGUUCACUCGUUGUUGGCAAUACACCGUCAGCGGCUAAGGGAAACCGAUAAGUGAACCACCUGGGGAGUACGGUCGCAAGAUUGAAACUCAAAGGAAUUGACGGGGGCCCGCACAAGCGGUGGAACAUGUGGUUUAAUUCGAUGAUACGCGAGGAACCUUACCUGGGCUUAAAUGUUGAUUGCAUAUAAUGGAAACAUUAUUUUCCUUCGGGACUAU
This 233-nucleotide ribosomal RNA is filed under the name uncultured bacterium. RNAcentral's name for it is "partial 16S ribosomal RNA". It matches the Rfam family "Bacterial small subunit ribosomal RNA", at positions 794 to 1030 of the family's 1533-position model. The record is from RNAcentral.